GACGAACGCUGGCGGCGUGCUUAACACAUGCAAGUCGAACGGAAAGGCUCCAGCUUUCUGGUGUACUCGAGUGUCGAACGGGUGAGUAACACGUGUGUAAUCUGCCCUGCACUCUGGGAUAAGCCUGUGAAACUGGGUCUAAUACUGGAUAUGACCUUUCACCUUAUGGGGUUUGGUGUUAAGUGUUUCGGUGUAGGAUGAGCCCGCGGCCUAUCAGCUUGUUGGUGGGGUGAUGGCCUACCAAGGCGACGACGGGUAGCCGGCCUGGGAGGGUGAUCGGCCACAGUGGGACUGAGAUACGGCCCAGACUCCUACGGGAGGCAGCAGUGGGGAAUAUUGCACAAUGGGCGGAAGCCUGAUGCAGCGACGCCGCGUGGGGGAUGACGGCCUUCGGGUUGUAAACCUCUUGCAGCAGGGACGAAGCGUAAGUGACGGUACCUGAAGAAGAAGCACCGGCUAACUAUGUG
RNAcentral lists this ribosomal RNA (467 nucleotides) under uncultured bacterium. RNAcentral describes it as "partial 16S ribosomal RNA". It matches the Rfam family "Bacterial small subunit ribosomal RNA", at positions 28 to 507 of the family's 1533-position model. The record is from RNAcentral.